RNAcentral lists this long non-coding RNA (2378 nucleotides) under Bemisia tabaci. RNAcentral describes it as "lncRNA ENSSWEETPG010396". The record is from RNAcentral. Lineage: Eukaryota; Metazoa; Arthropoda; Insecta; Hemiptera; Aleyrodidae.
AGGACACUGCAAGGCUGGAAUCACCUUAAGUUCUCUGUGGAAUUUGCUAAAACUGAGACAUAGACACAAGCGAUUGUGAUGUCAGCUAACGCAGAUUUUAACUCACGGAUUUUAUGUGGCCCUGUUCAAAUUUGUGAUGUUCUUCAGCAGAAUCCCCAACUCAAAGUUUUCUAUUCUAAGACCGAAGGGAAACUUUUGGAGCAGCUCGUCUGCUACGCCUCCAGCCUCCUCACCAAAAUGACAAGCAGACAAAUGUUCAUCCGACUCAAUGAGGGUGCAGAAACUUUCAGCGUAAACUUUGAGUUAGUGUUUGAAUCACUGAAUAUUCAACGUAGUUUCAAUCUCAAUCGAAGAUGCACUGAAACCAUCGGAGACUUCACGCACCGUAUCUCGAGCAAUGUUGAAAAAAGCAUUACCUACAAGGUAGCAAAGAAGUGAAAAAGGGGCCGAGAUAGAGAUGCCGGACGUCAGUGUCAAGGUGCUGAAUGGAGGGACUGAAGUCCCACCAGAGCUGACUUGUAACAAUGUGUUUUUUCAAAAGGACAGCCCAAAUUUGAGCACUAGGAUAUUAGGUACUGAUUACAAAUUAUUAUCAACCCGCCAUGGAUUAAUAGUCUAGCAAUUCCUACUACAUUUCUUGUUGGAUUCCCAGUGUAUCCAAAGAAAUUUGAUGCAAGCUUUACGAGCAAAGAAGAGUGCGAUUUUGUGUGGUCUAUUUCCACUGAAGACACAAAAAACAUCCCUCUCAGUGCUCAUUUAAACAAGCUGGAAAGGGAUUCAUAUAUUUACCAGCGCCAUCAGACAUCGGACACUAUGUGAAGUUGGAUUGUACACCCAAGGCGGGUGAUCGAGUUGGCCCCUCCGUUUCGCUUGUCUCACAAAAGCGUGUAGAAGCUGGACCAGGGACAUGUCCUUUUGAGCUGAGGCACAAAUUUACAUCCGAAAUUUUACCAUGUAGCAGGUAUGUCAAUUUUGAAACCAAUAUUUCCUACAUUAUCCUUAAGAAAUUUUCAACCGAUCACUCACUACUGACGCACUUACUACUGAUGUAAUGCUGAUCUGCCAAAUUUUCUUUCUUCUUUUUUUAUCAUUAGCUUUUAUUUUCCUGGCAAUACAUUAUCCUAAGAUGAUUCCAAGAAAUCUAGAGUUCUGCUUUGAUGAAAUGGAUCAGACAGCAUUGUAACAUAUUUUUGGGGGGAAUUUUUAAACUGGUAAUAUUUGAAACAUUUUCUUGAAGGGAAAGAAAAAUCUAGCAAAUUUCACAUACCUAGGGAGUCAAAACAGUUGAUUGUUUCUCCUAUCAAAAUAAAUUGACAGAAAGUUAGUUACAUGACAUAAUGAGACAAGGAAGAAGGACAAAGCGUAGAAUGUAUUAAUUCCUUUGUCUUUGCUUUCAGUUUUCGAGUAGUAUCUUACAAUAUCCUUGCAGAUUUGUAUGCAAAAUCAGAUGUGGCUCAGAACUCUCUAUUCCUUAUUGUCCAAAAUAUGCUCUGGAGAUAGAUUACCGCAAAUUACUGAUUGUCAAGACUAGUUGGUAAGAUUUUUCAGAUCAUUUUAUCCAGAAGCAUUAACCAUGCAAUAGUUGACGUUAUGUCACUGGCGCUAUGUCAAAAACUCGAACAGUUUUGAAAAUAUUAUAGUAUGAAAGAUUAAAAAAAUCUAUUUUAAAAUAAGAUAGAGCAUUCAAUAUCUUUGAAAAAUCAUUUUCAAUGGAAGAUAAUAAAAUAGUAGAAUUUUGUAUUGUUAAACAAGAUGUAAGAAAAGUAUUUUUCAAAGUAUUUAAGGGAUCCUGAGUAUUAGUAUUAGUAUCAGGAUCCUUGGUCUCAAAUUUUUCCUUCCUUUAACUUUUAGAGAGCGUAAGAAAUGCUUUAAGAAAAAUGAUGGAGCUUUAACCCGCUUUUUCAACCUAUAAUAUUCCCCACAUCCAUAUUUAAUUUUUACCAUAUUGUAGACAAGCUUUCUGUUUCAAAAACUAUUUUUGGCAAUAUCUAUUCUUCAUUUGUCCAUUCCAAUACACAAUUAAUCAUUAAAAUUCAAGAGUGCUACCCGUUGUCUACAGACCGUCUCCAUGGCAACCAUUUGUUCUGGGUCAGUAUUCUUCCAGCAACCAUCUAUUGGAUUGUGAUGAAUCAAGUUGCCAUGGCAAAAUUAUUCUUUUUUGUCUAUGUAAUAUUGAGGAAAAUCUCUCUCCUGACUCGAAAAAUAAUAAGAAUCCUGUCUCUUAGCCAGCAAUUUAGAGACAUAUUUGUCCAAAAAUUCUGCCAAAAAGAAAAAAAUGAAACCCUUUUUCUUUUUUAUGAAGUGUCCAAGUGUCCUAAAAUGAAACUUUUUAACCAUCUUCUCUAUAGAAACAGUGUAAAAAUGAACCACUAGACAUG